RNAcentral lists this ribosomal RNA (431 nucleotides) under Salmonella enterica. RNAcentral's name for it is "bacterial SSU rRNA". It matches the Rfam family "Bacterial small subunit ribosomal RNA", at positions 1 to 428 of the family's 1533-position model. RNAcentral also lists the same sequence under 3 other names. Lineage: Bacteria; Pseudomonadati; Pseudomonadota; Gammaproteobacteria; Enterobacterales; Enterobacteriaceae. The record is from RNAcentral.
AAAUUGAAGAGUUUGAUCAUGGCUCAGAUUGAACGCUGGCGGCAGGCCUAACACAUGCAAGUCGAACGGUAACAGGAAGCAGCUUGCUGCUUCGCUGACGAGUGGCGGACGGGUGAGUAAUGUCUGGGAAACUGCCUGAUGGAGGGGGAUAACUACUGGAAACGGUGGCUAAUACCGCAUAACGUCGCAAGACCAAAGAGGGGGACCUUCGGGCCUCUUGCCAUCAGAUGUGCCCAGAUGGGAUUAGCUUGUUGGUGAGGUAACGGCUCACCAAGGCGACGAUCCCUAGCUGGUCUGAGAGGAUGACCAGCCACACUGGAACUGAGACACGGUCCAGACUCCUACGGGAGGCAGCAGUGGGGAAUAUUGCACAAUGGGCGCAAGCCUGAUGCAGCCAUGCCGCGUGUAUGAAGAAGGCCUUCGGGUUGUAA